Molecule: ribosomal RNA, 163 nt
Filed under: Cichorium intybus (chicory)
Lineage: Eukaryota; Viridiplantae; Streptophyta; Magnoliopsida; Asterales; Asteraceae
Also listed under: 2 other names
Description: 5.8S ribosomal RNA
Rfam family: 5.8S ribosomal RNA
About the family: 5.8S ribosomal RNA (5.8S rRNA) is a component of the large subunit of the eukaryotic ribosome. It is transcribed by RNA polymerase I as part of the 45S precursor that also contains 18S and 28S rRNA.
Source: RNAcentral
AAACGACUCUCGGCAACGGAUAUCUCGGCUCACGCAUCGAUGAAGAACGUAGCAAAAUGCGAUACUUGGUGUGAAUUGCAGAAUCCCGUGAACCAUCGAGUUUUUGAACGCAAGUUGCGCCCAAAGCCAUCCGGCCGAGGGCACGCCUGCCUGGGCGUCACGC